GUGCCAGCAGCCGCGGUAAUACGGAGGGUGCAAGCGUUAUCCGGAUUCACUGGGUUUAAAGGGUGCGUAGGUGGGAAUGUAAGUCAGUGGUGAAAUCUCCGUGCUUAACAUGGAAACUGCCAUUGAUACUAUGUUUCUUGAAUUUUCUGGAGGUCAGCGGAAUAUGUCAUGUAGCGGUGAAAUGCUUAGAUAUGACAUAGAACACCAAUUGCGAAGGCAGCUGACUACAGGGAUAUUGACACUGAGGCACGAAAGCGUGGGGAUCAAACAGGAUUAGAAACCCGCGUAGUCC
RNAcentral lists this ribosomal RNA (292 nucleotides) under uncultured bacterium. RNAcentral's name for it is "partial 16S ribosomal RNA". It matches the Rfam family "Bacterial small subunit ribosomal RNA", at positions 505 to 796 of the family's 1533-position model. The record is from RNAcentral.